This is a long non-coding RNA of Populus nigra (black poplar), 763 nucleotides long. RefSeq lists it as uncharacterized. NCBI's taxonomy places the organism in Eukaryota, Viridiplantae, Streptophyta, Magnoliopsida, Malpighiales, Salicaceae. The transcript is spliced from 4 exons. The record is from RefSeq and is a predicted model, not a curated record.
GGAACUUCGGCAGCCAUAUUUUUACUUUGCACCGUUGGAUUAGAUUGAUUUGUGGAUAUGUUAUUAUACUCAAUGUCACCUACAUUCGGACCGGAGGGAUUGCAAAUAUCAGACUUCGUUUGAGGGCUGUCACCGGAGGAACAUUUCUGGAAAAUCACCCUUCAAGACAGCUUUGUUCGUCGGCCGUUAUAUCAUCGUUUCACCGUUGGAUUGGUCUGGAUUUUGGAUAUGUUAUUCAUCCAGAUGUUAUAUAAAUUCUGAACGGUUUGAAUCGGAAAAGAACACUCCUAACAGAAAUUAAACUUCCCGAAUAGCAGGUCUCCAAAUUUCAGGAGAAGCAUUCACUCGACUUCUCAGGAGCUCGUAUAGUAGGAGCUUAAGGAGGGACUGCAAGAGGGGCACAACAACAACAAGGAAGAGCGAGUUGAGCUUCUGCAGCUGGAUGCAGGCAAAUAUCGUAUCGCUUGGGACGUGAGAAUAGAAGUUCAUUAACCAUGGUCCUUCAGAUUCACGCCAGGAGUAGCGUUUUAGGUCCUCUAGUCUCCUUUUGUAUGAUUGAAUAAGAAGAUGAACAUUAAUGUAUUUUGUCUUUAAGGAACUAAAUGACUUAAUAUGUAAUAGUACUCCUUUUACAUUAAGUGUCGGACAUAAAAAUGUAUUAUUCUGUAUUUGUAAUCUUAGUUUGUUUACUUGCAAUUGUUAUGAAUUAUGUGUGUUAAUGGGAAAGAAAUGAGCAUGCGAAAUGUGAGGCAUGUACCAUGAA